RNAcentral lists this long non-coding RNA (1947 nucleotides) under Arabidopsis thaliana (thale cress). RNAcentral describes it as "long non-coding RNA (ATHA_LNC000349)". The record is from RNAcentral. Lineage: Eukaryota; Viridiplantae; Streptophyta; Magnoliopsida; Brassicales; Brassicaceae.
UUGACUAUAAGUCUCCACCACCUCCAUACGUUUACAGUUCUCCACCACCUCCACUAUCGUAUUCGCCAUCUCCCAAGGUAGACUACAAGUCUCCACCACCUCCAUAUGUUUACAGCUCUCCACCACCACCAUAUUACUCACCAUCCCCUAAAGUCGAAUACAAAUCCCCACCACCUCCAUAUGUUUAUAGUUCUCCACCACCACCAUAUUACUCACCCUCACCUAAAGUAGAUUACAAGUCUCCACCACCACCGUAUGUUUACAGCUCCCCACCACCACCAUACUAUUCACCUUCUCCAAAGCCCACAUACAAAUCACCACCACCUCCAUAUGUUUACAAUUCUCCACCACCACCAUACUACUCACCAUCCCCUAAGGUCGAAUACAAAUCUCCACCACCUCCAUACGUCUAUAGCUCUCCACCCCCACCAUACUACUCACCCUCACCUAAAGUAGAUUAUAAGUCUCCACCACCACCGUAUGUUUACAACUCUCCACCACCACCAUACUAUUCACCUUCUCCAAAACCCACAUACAAGUCCCCACCACCACCAUAUAUUUACAGCUCUCCACCACCACCAUACUAUUCUCCUUCUCCUAAACCAGUAUACAAAUCUCCACCACCACCAUACGUCUAUUCCUCUCCACCACCACCAUACUAUUCACCUUCUCCUAAACCAGCAUACAAAUCUCCACCACCACCGUAUGUUUAUAGCUCUCCACCUCCUCCAUACUACUCGCCUUCUCCUAAACCCAUAUACAAGUCUCCACCACCACCGUACGUCUACAACUCUCCUCCACCACCAUACUACUCUCCUUCUCCAAAACCGGCAUACAAAUCUCCACCACCACCAUACGUAUACAGCUUUCCACCUCCUCCAUACUACUCGCCUUCUCCUAAACCCGUAUACAAGUCUCCACCACCACCAUACGUCUACAACUCUCCUCCACCACCAUACUACUCUCCUUCUCCAAAACCGGCAUACAAAUCUCCACCACCACCAUACGUAUACAGCUCUCCACCACCACCAUACUACUCGCCUUCUCCUAAACCAACAUACAAAUCUCCACCACCACCAUAUGUUUAUAGCUCUCCACCUCCUCCAUACUACUCGCCUUCUCCUAAACCCGUAUACAAGUCUCCACCACCACCGUACAUCUACAACUCUCCACCACCACCAUACUACUCCCCUUCACCUAAACCAUCAUACAAAUCCCCACCACCACCAUAUGUUUACAGCUCUCCACCACCACCAUAUUACUCGCCUUCUCCUAAGCUUACAUACAAAUCCUCACCACCACCCUAUGUUUACAGCUCUCCACCACCACCAUAUUACUCUCCUUCUCCUAAGGUUGUAUACAAAUCUCCACCACCACCAUAUGUUUACAGCUCUCCACCACCACCAUACUACUCCCCUUCACCUAAACCAUCAUACAAAUCCCCACCACCACCGUACGUCUAUAACUCUCCACCUCCUCCUUACUACUCUCCUUCACCUAAGGUCAUAUACAAAUCGCCACCACACCCACAUGUAUGUGUUUGUCCCCCACCUCCACCAUGCUACUCUCAUUCUCCAAAGAUUGAGUACAAAUCCCCACCAACACCAUAUGUUUACCACUCACCACCUCCCCCACCUUAUUAUUCGCCUUCGCCUAAACCUGCAUAUAAAUCUUCACCACCACCUUACGUCUACAGCUCUCCACCACCACCAUAUUACUCACCUGCUCCUAAGCCCGUAUACAAAUCUCCACCACCACCAUACGUGUACAACUCCCCACCACCACCAUAUUACUCACCAUCCCCUAAACCUACAUACAAAUCUCCACCACCACCAUAUGUAUACAGCUCUCCACCACCACCAUAUUACUCACCUACUCCUAAACCUACAUACAAAUCUCCACCACCCCCAUAUGUCUACAGUUCCCCACCACCACCAUAUUACUCGC